RNAcentral lists this ribosomal RNA (307 nucleotides) under uncultured Deinococcus sp. RNAcentral describes it as "bacterial SSU rRNA". It matches the Rfam family "Bacterial small subunit ribosomal RNA", at positions 1090 to 1397 of the family's 1533-position model. Lineage: Bacteria; Thermotogati; Deinococcota; Deinococci; Deinococcales; Deinococcaceae. The record is from RNAcentral.
GCACGAGCGCAACCCUUGCUAUUAGUUACCAGCACUUCGGGGGGGAACUCUAAUAGGACUGCCUGGGAAAGCCGGAGGAAGGCGGGGAUGACGUCUAGUCAUCAUGGUCCUUACGACCUGGGCUACACACGUGCUACAAUGGCAGGUAUAACGCGUCGCCAACCUGCGAAGGUGCGCUAAUCGCUAAAAGCCUGUCCCAGUUCAGAUUGUAGUCUGCAACUCGACUACAUGAAGUUGGAAUCGCUAGUAAUCGCAGAUCAGCAUUGCUGCGGUGAAUACGUUCCCGGGUCUUGCACACACCGCCCGU